GGCCCCUUGGUCAAGCGGUUAAGACACCGCCCUUUCACGGCGGUAACACGGGUUCGAAUCCCGUAGGGUCACCA
This 74-nucleotide transfer RNA is filed under the name Planococcus faecalis. RNAcentral describes it as "tRNA-Glu". It matches the Rfam family "tRNA". From Rfam's summary of the family: Transfer RNA (tRNA) molecules are approximately 80 nucleotides in length. Their secondary structure includes four short double-helical elements and three loops (D, anti-codon, and T loops). Lineage: Bacteria; Bacillati; Bacillota; Bacilli; Caryophanales; Caryophanaceae. The record is from RNAcentral. RNAcentral also lists the same sequence under 1 other name.